Molecule: ribosomal RNA, 515 nt
Filed under: uncultured bacterium
Lineage: Bacteria
Description: bacterial SSU rRNA
Rfam family: Bacterial small subunit ribosomal RNA
Source: RNAcentral
AAUCAACGCUGGCGGCGUGCCUCAGACAUGCUAGUCGAACGAUUAAGACUCCCUUCGGGGAGUGCAUAAAGUGGCGCACGGGUGAGUAACACGUAAGUAAUCUGCCCUCGAGUGGGGAAUAACACCGGGAAACCGGUGCUAAUACGGCAUAAUGCAGCGGCACCGCAAGGUGACAGUUGUUAAAGGAGCAAUCCGCUUGAGGAGGAGCUUGCGGCAGAUUAGCUAGUUGGUAAGGUAAUGGCUUACCAAGGCUACGAUCUGUAACCGGUCUAAGAGGACGGUCGGUCACACUGACACUGAAUAACGGGUCAGACUCCUACGGGAGGCAGCAGUCGGGAAUUUUGGGCAAUGGGCGAAAGCCUGACCCAGCAACGCCGCGUGAAGGAUGAAGUAUUUCGGUAUGUAAACUUCGAAAGAAUGGGAAGAAUAAAUGACGGUACCAUUUAUAAGGUCCGGCUAACUACGUGCCAGCAGCCGCGGUAAUACGUAGGGACCAAGCGUUGUUCGGAUUUACU